Molecule: ribosomal RNA, 271 nt
Filed under: uncultured bacterium
Lineage: Bacteria
Description: partial 16S ribosomal RNA
Rfam family: Bacterial small subunit ribosomal RNA
Source: RNAcentral
UACGGAGGGGGCUAGCGUUGUUCGGAAUUACUGGGCGUAAAGCGCACGUAGGCGGCUAUUCAAGUCAGAGGUGAAAGCCUGGAGCUUAACUCCAGAACUGCCUUUGAAACUAGAUAGCUAGAAUCAUGGAGAGGUGAGUGGAAUUCCGAGUGUAGAGGUGAAAUUCGUAGAUAUUCGGAAGAACACCAGUGGCGAAGGCGGCUCACUGGACAUGUAUUGACGCUGAGGUGCGAAAGCGUGGGGAGCAAACAGGAUUAGAAACCCCGGUAGU